AGAGACCAUAGUUGAGACUGAGCUCCUGUUCCAGGUGAAGAAGUAGACAUGGUUCCUACUCUGCAGAGGACAUUGUCACUGGCACCGCAGUGCACAAUAUCCCCAAAGAACAUCCAUCUUACAGGAAUGGUUUGCUCUCUGUGGAUGAAAAAUGGCCCAAGUUCAGGAUGAGAAGGCAGCGCAUAUUCAGUGCUGAAGCCUGUCUUGCACAGGUAACUGGGGAUAACAGUGACUCAUCCACUGAUGAAAUCUUAUCCCAAGGCAGUGAGGAUGCUGACUUUGGAGGAAGCUUCACCCGACUUAGAUGGGGAGGAGUUGGUGCCACAAGCACAAGUGAUGCCAACACUUCCAGUGGGAAAAGGAGGAGGACACAAUGGUGGAAACAUUCCCUCUGUUUCUUUCACAAGAUACCUGGACUCUUAUCAUAAGAGAAACAAACAGGGAGUGGAAAGAAGAUUCAGGGAGUGGAAAGAAGAUAGAAAGGAGUGGAAAAAGCUGGACAAAACAAAGCUGAAAGCCUACCUUGCCCUCCUACUGCUGAGUGGUCUAUACCAUGGUGGUCAUGAGGAACUGGAGGAGUUGUGGGAGCAAUGCACUGGGUAUCCUUACUUCCGUGCCACCACCAGUUUAAAACAAUUCUGUCAAAUCACCAACUGCAUGAUAUUUGACAACAAACUGACACAUGAGGAAAGGAGAGGUAUGGGCAAGCUUGAUGCCUUCAGAGAGAUUUGGACACAAUUUGUGGAGCAGCUGAGGAAAUGGUAUAUUCCAGGAAUAUACCUGAUGGUUGAUGAGCAGCUCAUUACGUUCAGGAGUCACUGUCCUUUCAGACAGUAUAUGCCCAGCAAGCCUGCCAAAUAUGGCUUCAAAAUUUGGUAGUGCUGUGAUCUUGGCACCCAGGUCAUUGAAAAACUGGUUCAUACCUGGUACAAGAUGGGAAGGAAGAUUGUGGGUGACAAUUUCUUCACAAGUACUGACCUGACAGAAAGACUGCUACAGCAGGACUUGACCUAUGUGGCUACAAUUCAGAAAAACAAGGCUGAUAUCCCAAAUGAAAUGCAAACAAAUCAAAGAAGGGAAACUUUUUCAUUUCUUUUUGCUUUUGAUGGAGAACUCACCCUAGUUUCCUGUGUUCCAAAGAACUCCAAAGUUGUGCUGUUGCUGUCAAGCAUGCACCAUGACCUGUCAGUGGGUGGAGAGCAAAAAAAGCUGAACAUCAUCCACAACUAUAAUAAAAACAAGGGUGGGGUGUAUAACCUUUGCCACUUAGUCUGUAUAACUACCUGCAGACAGAAAAAUCAACAGGUGGUCAAUGACACUAUAUUUCAAUAUGCUGGACGUGGCUGGCAUAUUGCCAGCCUCAUCAUUUAGCUAGGCCACAAUGCGAACUGGAAGCAAAGAUCACAUUUAAGAAGAUGGCACCUUUUUUUGCAGGAGCUCAGAGAACAGCUAAUUGAUGGACAAAUAAAAUGAAGAAUGCUGGAUACACGUAAUCUGUCUAAAUCCAUCAAGUCUGGUAUGACUGCCCUAAAUUAUAAUUUGCAACAACGCACCCCGGUAGAACCUUCUGCAAGCAUGAGUGGACAUUGUGCUUUUUGUCCAAGGACAGAUGACCGCAAAACCCGGAAAUGAUGCGAAGAUUGUAAAUGACUUACUUGUGUGCACCACAUUGCAUCACUGCUGCUUUGUGAGGAAUGCAAUAUUUAGUUAAAACAGUUAGGAAAUGUUUUUGGAAGUAAUUGUUAGUUUGAAAACAGCGUGAACUGCAGACAUAGCAAAUUGUUCAUUCGUGUUUUGAAACUCUAAAAAAAGUUUAAUUUUGUUUAUAGUUCUAGUCAAAUAGUAUUUUGGGCUCAAAUCAUCAUACAUACUCUUUCAAACAAUCUGUUUGUUGAAUAAAUAGUUUUUGGUACAUUUA
Long non-coding RNA from Alligator mississippiensis (American alligator), 1918 nucleotides. RefSeq lists it as uncharacterized. The record is from RefSeq and is a predicted model, not a curated record. NCBI's taxonomy places the organism in Eukaryota, Metazoa, Chordata, Crocodylia, Alligatoridae. The transcript is spliced from 3 exons.